AACGCGAAGAACCUUACCUACUCUUGACAUCCACGGAAUUCGGCAGAGAUGCCUUAGUGCCUUCGGGAACCGUGAGACAGGUGCUGCAUGGCUGUCGUCAGCUCGUGUUGUGAAAUGUUGGGUUAAGUCCCGCAACGAGCGCAACCCUUAUCCUUUGUUGCCAGCGAUUCGGUCGGGAACUCAAAGGAGACUGCCGGUGAUAAACCGGAGGAAGGUGGGGAUGAUGUCAAGUCAUCAUGGCCCUUACGAGUAGGGCUACACACGUGCUACAAUGGCGCAUACAAAGAGAAGCGACCUCGCGAGAGCAAGCGGACCUCAUAAAGUGCGUCGUAGUCCGGAUCGGAGUCUGCAACUCGACUCCGUGAAGUCGGAAUCGCUAGUAAUCGUGGAUCAGAAUGCCACGGUGAAUACGUUCCCGGGCCUUGUACACACCG
Molecule: ribosomal RNA, 434 nt
Filed under: uncultured bacterium
Lineage: Bacteria
Description: bacterial SSU rRNA
Rfam family: Bacterial small subunit ribosomal RNA
Source: RNAcentral